ACGGGUGCAGCAGGCGCGAAAACUUUACAAUGCAGGAAACUGUGAUAAGGGAACCCCGAGUGCCCGUAUACGCGGGCUGUCCAGGUGUUUAAAACGCACCUGAAGAAAGGGCCGGGCAAGACCGGUGCCAGCCGCCGCGGUAAUACCGGCGGCUCGAGUGGUGGCCACUUUUAUUGGGCUUAAAGCGUCCGUAGCUGGACUCUUAAGUCUCUUGGGAAAUCUCCUGGCUUAACCAGGAGGCGUCUAAGAGAUACUGGGAGUCUAGGGACCGGGAGGGGUGAGGGGUACUCCGGGGGUAGGG
Molecule: ribosomal RNA, 301 nt
Filed under: uncultured archaeon
Lineage: Archaea
Description: bacterial SSU rRNA
Rfam family: Archaeal small subunit ribosomal RNA
Source: RNAcentral